This 2153-nucleotide long non-coding RNA is filed under the name Haliotis rubra (blacklip abalone). RNAcentral describes it as "uncharacterized LOC124276848, transcript variant X2". Lineage: Eukaryota; Metazoa; Mollusca; Gastropoda; Lepetellida; Haliotidae. The record is from RNAcentral.
GUGAUGUACAGCUAGGUAGGUGUGAGGUACAGGUAGGGAGGGAGGUGUGAGGUGCAGCUGGGGAGAUGUGAGAUACAGCUGGGGAGGUGUGAGAUAACGCUGGGAAGGUGUGAGGUACAAAUAUGGAGGUGUGAGGUGCAGCUAGGCAUAUGUUAGGUACAGUUAGGGAGGUGUGAGAUACAGCUAGGGAGGUGUGAGGUAAAGCUAGGUAGGCGUGAGGUACAGCUAGGUAGGUGUGAGAUACAGCUAGGGGGGUGUGAGAUACAGCUAGGGAGGUGUGAGGUACAGCUAGGGAGGUGUGAGGUACAGCUAGGGAGGUGGGAGGUACUGUUACGGAGGUGUGAGAUACAGCUAGGGAGGUGUGAGGUACAACUAGGGAGGUGUGAGAUACAGCUAGGGAGGUAUGAGGUACAGCUAGGGAGGUGUGAGGUUCAGGUGGGGAGGUGUGAGGUACAACUAGGGAGGUGGGAGGUACACCUUGGGAGGUGUGAGGUAAAGCUAGGGAGGUGUGAGAUACAGCUAGGGAGGUGUGAGGUAAAACUAGGGAGGUGUGAGAUACAGCUAGGGAGGUGUGAAGUACAGUUAUGGAGGUGUGAGGUACAGUUAGGGAGGUGUGAGAUACAGGUGGGGGGGGUAUGAGGAACAGUUAGGGAGGUGUGAGGUACAGUUAGGGAGGUGUGAGGUUCAACUGGGGAGGUGUGUGGUACAGUGAGAGAGGUGUGAAUUAUAGCUGGGGACGUAUGAGGUACAGUUAGGGAGGUGUGAGGUACAGGUGGGGAGGUGUUGGAUACAGGUGGGGAGGCAUGAGGUACAACUAGGGAGGUGUAAAGUGCAGCUGGGGCGGUGUAAGGUACAGCUAUGGAGGUGCGAGGUACAGAUAGGGAGGUGUAAGGUACAGCUAGGGAGGUGCGAGGUACAACUAGGGAGGUGUGAGGUACAGAUAGGGAGGCGUGAGGGACAGAUGGGGAGGUGAGAGGUACAGCUGGGGAUUUGUGAGGUACAGCUACGGAGGUGUGUGGUACAGCUAGGGAGGUCUGAGGUACAGGUGGGAGGUUUGAGGUACAGAUGGGGAGGUGUGAGGUACAGGUGGGGAGGCGUGUGGUACAGCUAUGGAGUUGUAAGAUACAGGUCGGGAGCUUUGAGGUACAGUUAGGGAUGUGUGAGGUACAGUUAGGGAGGUGUGAGAUACAGCUGGGGAAGUGUGUGGUACAGUUAGGGAGGUGUGAGGUACACUUAGAAAGCUCUGAGGUACAGCUGUGGAAGUGUGUGGUACAACUGUGGAGGUGUGAGUUACAGCUGGGGAGGUAUGAGGUACAGUUAACCAGGUGUGAUGUACUGCUAUGGACGUGUGGGGUACAGGUGGGGAGUUGUGAGAUACAGCUGGGGAGGUGUAAGGUACAGCUGGGGAGGUGUGAGGUACAAUUAGGGAGGUGUGAGGUACAGCUAGUGAGAUGUGAGGUACAAUUAGGGAGGAGUGAGUGUACAAUAAGGGAGGGGUGAGGUACAGCUAGGGAGAUGUAAGGUACAACUAGAUAAGUAUGAGGUACAGGUAGGGAGGUGUGAGGUACAGCUAGGGAUGUGUGAGGUACAACUGGGGAGGUUGAGGUACAGCUGGGGAGGUGUGAGGAUCAGUGAGUGAAAUGUGAUGUACAACUAAGGAAGUGUGAGGUACAGCUAGGGAGGUGUGAGGUAAAAUUAGGGAGGUGUGAGGUACAGCUAGGGAGAUGUGAGGUACAAUUAGGGAGGGGUGAGGUACAGCUAGGCAGGUGUGAGAUAAAGCUGGGGAGGUGUAAAGUACAGUUAGUUAGGUAUGAGGUACAGGUAUGGAGGUGUGAGGUAUAGCCGGGGAUAUUUGAGGUACAGCUGGGGAGGUGUUGUUGCAUCUGUAACGUGUAAGAUACAGCUGGGGAGGUGUGAGGUACAGCUAGGGAGGUCUGAGGUACAGGUGGGGAGGUGUGAGGUAUAGCUAGGUAGGUGUAAGGUACAACUUGGUAGGUAUGAGGUACAGCUAGGGAGGUGUGAGGUACAGGUGGGGAGGUGUGAGGUUCAGCUGGGUAGGUUUGUGGUACAGCUGGGGAAGGUGUGAGGCAGAGACUGCCGUGCUCCGAACAAUCUAUGGAUCGCGGCCCGGGUCGUUGUGACCAUUUGACAAU